Molecule: long non-coding RNA, 88 nt
Organism: Amblyraja radiata (thorny skate)
Lineage: Eukaryota; Metazoa; Chordata; Chondrichthyes; Rajiformes; Rajidae
Exons: 3
Source: RefSeq, a predicted model, not a curated record
AAUGACUGGGGUGGGACCUCUUUGAUUAUGCUGGCUGCUUUUCUUAGGCAGCGUGAAGUGGAUAUGGAGUCAAUGGUGCUCAGUGCUG